CUUGGUCAUUUAGAGGAAGUAAAAGUCGUAACAAGGUUUCCGUAGGUGAACCUGCGGAAGGAUCAUUAACGAAUUGCAUUAGGAGUUGAUGCUGGUGGCUGAUUCCAUUGGCUGCAUGUGCUCGCUUCUAUAACAAUCUUUGACCCAAACACCAGUGCACCUUAUGAGGGGGUCUCCGUUUUUCAUGGAUUCCCUUCUCUAAUAUACGCUGUUUACAAUGUUGAACGUGCCUGUGCCACAUUGGCCUUAAUAUGUAAUAUACAACUUUUAACAACGGAUCUCUUGGCUCUCGCAUCGAUGAAGAACGCAGCGAAAUGCGAUAAGUAAUGUGAAUUGCAGAAUUCAGUGAAUCAUCGAAUCUUUGAACGCACCUUGCGCUCCCUGGUAUUCCGGGGAGCACGCCUGUUCGAGUGUCGUGAAAUUGUCAAGCUUUGAUGCUUUUUCCUGUCAAAAAGGCCCUCUCAGCUUGGUUGUUGGGCUCUGCCGUGCUCUUUAUUGGAACGGCUGGCCUUAAAAGUAUUAGCUUGAUCCUCUUGGGUAAAUUGGUUCUACUCAGCGUGAUAAUGAUCUCUGUGACCGCUGAGGACAUCUUCCGAGAUGGCCAAUUCUCGAUUGGGUUGCUUCUAAUCUGGCUCUACGGAUUUACGAAUCCGUGCCGCUUCUGAUUUUUUGGCCUCGAAUCAGGUGGGACUACCCGCUGAACUUAAGCAUAUCAAUAAGCGGAGGA
This 727-nucleotide ribosomal RNA is filed under the name uncultured Clavulina. RNAcentral's name for it is "eukaryotic LSU rRNA". The stretch from base 263 to 416 matches the Rfam family "5.8S ribosomal RNA". Lineage: Eukaryota; Fungi; Basidiomycota; Agaricomycetes; Cantharellales; Hydnaceae. The record is from RNAcentral.